UGAGAUCCUACCCAGAGAUUGAUGACAAUAAGCUGCCAUGUUCCAAACUUCGAGCGGCUUUCUGGCUGCUGUUUGUCACUCCCCGUGAUGCCUUUUAAAAGAUAAAUUGCAUGAGAAACUUCUAGAUUUCAUGGAGAAAUAUUGAAGUGAGGAGCAUUACAAACAUUUUCCCAAGAGCUCCCCUACCUGACUGUGAGCCCCUGGAGGGCAGGGUGGAGUAUCACUCAUCUCCAGGGCUGGCCACUAGAAAAUAUCAAUAAUGGAGAGAGAGGGAGAGGAGAGAGCAAGACGGAUAGAAGGUGAUGGGCCUGAGGCUUCCAGAUGGUGAGGUGUUUGUCCAAAGUCACACAGCUAGGAAGUGACAGAGUGCGGACUCAGGGCGGAUCUGGACUUCUGUCUCUUGCCCGUGGAUGAGACCAGCCCGAGGGACCUUUCUGCUGCUUUUAAACCUGCUGGCCUCAAUCACAGGUAGUAUCACCUUGAUUCCUGCUCAUUACCUUCUGCCCUAUUUUACUGAAGAUUCAGGGCAGAUUUGAAUCUGGCCUAGAAAAACAUCUUCCUGACCCCUCAGAGAGGGAGAGAGAGAGAGAGAGAGAGAGAGACACGAAGG
Long non-coding RNA from Orcinus orca (killer whale), 610 nucleotides. RefSeq lists it as uncharacterized. Lineage: Eukaryota; Metazoa; Chordata; Mammalia; Artiodactyla; Delphinidae. The record is from RefSeq and is a predicted model, not a curated record. The transcript is spliced from 3 exons.